AGCAACGGCGCUGACCGGGCAGUGGGCAGGGCCUGCGCAGGGGCGGAGCCGGGCUCCUAGUAGCUCCCGCUCCAGCCUCCGACUGGUGCAGAUUGUCCAAUCGGAGACUUUCGGACGGAAAAUGCCAAGCAGGGAUUGGAAAAUUUGGAAAAGAGAAGAAAUGCUUGAGAGGUAAAUAACAAGCGCGUGGACAAGGAAAUAAUCAAACAUAAAAUAAGGUGGUGAGCGGCGCUAGAAAGCAAAACCCCAUGUUAUGGAACACAUCCAAGCGGCCACAAAAAGAAUGUGGAAGACACCAGACCCGGCGAUCCCACUCCUCGGUAUUUACUCGAGGGAAAUGAAAACGUAUUCACACAAUGACUUACUUGUACAGGAAUGUUCAUAGCGGCUGUUUUCAUAAUCACCCCAAACUGGAAACAACCCAAAAUGUCCAUCAGCUGCUGAAUGGAUAAACGCGUUGCAAUACAUCUAUUCCACCGAAUACACCGGCAGCACAAAGGAAUGAAUUCUUGAUAAGCACUAGGACAUGGAUAAAUUGCAAAUGUAUCAGGCUGGGUGAAAGGAGUCAGUCGCAAAAGGCUACAAACUGCAUGAUUUAUUAGCAUUCUGGGAAAUCUAAUCUAUUGUGACAGAGAUCAGAUUAGCUGUUGCCCGAGGCUGGGGUGCAGAAGCUGCAAAGGGACAGACAGGUGGGAACUUUUUGGGGUGACAGAACUGUUCUGUAUCUUGAUUGUGGUGCUGGUGGUUUCAACUGUCAAAACUCAUCAGAUUGUACACUUUAAAAGGGUGCAGUAAAUUGUGUUAAAUUAUA
Microcebus murinus (gray mouse lemur) is the source of this 811-nucleotide non-coding RNA. The record is from RefSeq and is a predicted model, not a curated record. NCBI's taxonomy places the organism in Eukaryota, Metazoa, Chordata, Mammalia, Primates, Cheirogaleidae.